This 497-nucleotide ribosomal RNA is filed under the name uncultured bacterium. RNAcentral describes it as "partial 16S ribosomal RNA". It matches the Rfam family "Bacterial small subunit ribosomal RNA", at positions 28 to 507 of the family's 1533-position model. The record is from RNAcentral.
GAUGAACGCUGGCGGCGUGCCUAAUACAUGCAAGUCGAGCGAACAGACGAGGAGCUUGCUUCUCUGAUGUUAGCGGCGGACGGGUGAGUAACACGUGGAUAACCUACCUAUAAGACUGGGAUAACUUCGGGAAACCGGAGCUAAUACCGGAUAAUAUAUUGAACCGCAUGGUUCAAUAGUGAAAGACGGUCUUGCUGUCACUUAUAGAUGGAUCCGCGCUGCAUUAGCUAGUUGGUAAGGUAACGGCUUACCAAGGCAACGAUGCAUAGCCGACCUGAGAGGGUGAUCGGCCACACUGGAACUGAGACACGGUCCAGACUCCUACGGGAGGCAGCAGUAGGGAAUCUUCCGCAAUGGGCGAAAGCCUGACGGAGCAACGCCGCGUGAGUGAUGAAGGUCUUCGGAUCGUAAAACUCUGUUAUUAGGGAAGAACAAAUGUGUAAGUAACUGUGCACAUCUUGACGGUACCUAAUCAGAAAGCCACGGCUAACUACGUG